Non-coding RNA from Taeniopygia guttata (zebra finch), 2308 nucleotides. The record is from RefSeq and is a predicted model, not a curated record. Lineage: Eukaryota; Metazoa; Chordata; Aves; Passeriformes; Estrildidae.
UAUCUGUUUUUUAGCUUGUGCUGCUUUGCUUUGGUGCAUGAAAUAGCAUUUGAUGUUUUAGAAUCAGAGAAUAGUUAGGUUGGGAAGGACCUUAAAAAUCAUCUCAGUUACAAUUCCUCUGCUAUAGUCAGGGGGCACCUUCCACUAGACCAGGUUGCUCCAAGCUUGAAACAUUUCCAGAGAUGGGGCAGCCACAGCUUCUCUGGGCAACCUGUUCCAGUGCCUCACCAUACUCACAGUAAAUAAUUUCUUCCUAAUACCUAAAUUGAACCUAACCUCCUUCAGAUGGAGGUCUUGUAUUCUCCCUUGCUAUAUCACUUCAUGCCCUUUUGAGACACCUGCCCCCUCCAGCCUUCUUGUAAGGUACUAAAAAGUGCUCUAAAGUCUCCUUGAAUCAUCUGCCUAUGAGAAGCUUUAAGAAAGAAGGAAAUUAUAGUCUCCUCUGAACAGAAAAUGUAUGACAGCCCAUUUUGUGGGGAGGGUUGUAGUAGACUUUGCAGUAUUGUGGAGCUAUGGCUGUGCCAAGUCCUAGCCAAAGGCUCUUUUAUCACCUGGAGACAUCCUGAUGAAAUUGAGGUCUUAAUAGAGAUGACAGAAAAAACCCCUCAGUUUUGGAGCCAGUGUAGACAAAACAUACGAAUGUGGUUGGUAGUGUAUGAAUGUUGGUAAGGAUAUGUUUUUGAUAUUUGGGUUAAAACAAUUUGGACUAAGAGAAUAGUGUGGGGGAAUUAUAUUAUUUAAGACUGAAAGAAAAUGCCCAAAUCUUCAAUAAAAUCGCAUAUUCUCUAUGAGUCAUGUGAUCUGUAAGCUUAGAAUACUUUUUAGUAAAUCCAUCAGUCUUUGGUGACAUGUAUGUUAAUAUCAAAUGUCAAAGAUGAGUGAUCAUGACUCUCCAAAAUGUUAACCAUUAGGUAUUCUUUGAGAGCAGGUGGGGAGAAAGGUAGUAUGGGGUGUGACCUCCUGUUUGUGUUUUUGCAUGUCUGGUGGAUGGUGAUUAUUAGAGCUUUGUUAGAGCUCUUAGAGCUGUGGCCCAGUAGAUUUCCUUAGGACAAUAAUGGAACUAACAGGUGUCAGACCUCUCUGAAGAGCGGGGAGGUGAUAAGUAGCGUAUCUCAAACAUAGCAUUGAAAUGUUAUUUCCCUAUCUAUUUGCUUCUGCUUUGCCAGCACAUGUUGCUGCAGUAAAUAUCAGUAUUAUGGAAAUAACUUCAUUCAUGUCCUAGUUAUGGUAACUACAGUUAGCUUCUGUAAUUUCCAUUUUUCUCUAGUGAUGCUGGGACUCUGAUCCCAAAUAAGAAGUGGCUUUGCCUUGGAGUUGAACAGCUUUAGACACUGCAUUUGCCACAUUUGUUGGCCUUGUGCUGCCUAGUCAAGCUCAGUCUUGUUAGCAUUCUGAUUUGAUAUUUGUUUCUUUGCAUACACAUGAUACUGGAUGUAGUUUUACAAGAAGAUUUCUGAAUCUGCUGAUGUCUACGUUGCAGGAGACUUGUAGUUUCAGGUUCUGCAGUUCUUAGUUUCUGUCAGAGCUAUGGCAUCUCUUGUUGGCUUCCGUGGUCAGCCUCUUUCAGGUCUGACUGGUCCUGCAAGCAGUAGGUCCUCUGUCAAGCAGCCUGCCCUCUUCAUUCCUGUGCAUGUCUCAACAGCUUCGCAGCUGGAGACGUUUGGGAAGGGUGGUAGCGAUGUGUAUCUGCUGUUUGUUACAUUGCACCAGUCUCUUCUGUAAAGGCUUCUGGCUUGUGUCUUCAGCCUGAUACUCUUGGAAGGGAAUUUCUGUCCCUUGCUGUGUUCUGUGUAACUUUUUGGAUAAGCUGGUUGGUGUGCAUUGUAUCACUACUUGAUUAUGUCAGAAUUUCAGUCUGGCUGAAGGUAUCUACAGAAGAAGAGACAGAAAUGCUGUGCCUGAUACAUUUCAUAUUGUAAAAGCAGCCAGAUGGGUUUUAACACUGUCAGAAUCUGUGCCUGCUGUCACUACAUCUACAUUCCCCUCAAGAGUUUAAAUUUAAUUUUCCUCCAAAGUUUUGUAAUAGAAAAUUUGCUUGGUUUAUUUCUAAAAUGGUUUGAUCAUAAAAUAGGUGUGGGUUGAAUCUGCUUUUAUUUUAAAGAGGCACAAUUUUGUAUCAUGAGUAGGGUUUGAUUCUGUUGAUCAGUGCGUUGAUAAGAAAGUGGUUUGAAACAAUGGUUGCAAAACUUGUAGACUUCUAUUAUGGACUUAGUUCUGCAGUUUUCCAUAAUCUUCUAAGAAAACCUACAAUUUAUGAGAAUAUGGAUUUGUGUGUGUCUUUUCAUGUUUGCAGACAAGGACUAGAAAA